CUACGCAACGUUCAUCGGCGUAGGGUGAGUCGGCCCCUAAGGCGAGGCAGAGAUGCGUAGCUGAUGGGAAACAGGUCAAUAUUCCUGUACCGAUUGCAAGUGCGAUGUGGGGACGAAUCUUAAUAGGUGAUCCGGGUGUUGGAUGUCCCGGUUUAGACAGAAGUAGGCGUGUGUCAGGCAAAUCCGGCACACAUAUACCGAGGCUGUCGAUCGAGCGAGCUUGCUUGCGAAGUCACUGAACGGGGUUCCAGGAAAAGCCACUAAGCUUCAGCUUGCAACGACCGUACCGCAAACCGACACUGGUGCGCGAGAUGAGUAUUCUAAGGCGCUUGAGAGAACUCUGGAGAAGGAACUCGGCAAAUUGACACCGUAACUUCGGGAGAAGGUGUGCCCUAGUAGUGUGAUGAGAGCAUCUGAGCAUGAACGGGUUGCAAAAAAUUGGUGGCUGCGACUGUUUAUUAAAAACACAGCACUCUGCAAACACGAAAGUGGACGUAUAGGGCGUGACGCCUGCCCGGUGCUGGAAGAUUAAUUGAUGGGGUGCAAGCUUUUGAUCGAAGUCCCAGUAAACGGCGGCCGUAACUAUAACGGUCCUAAGGUAGCGAAAUUCCUUGUCGGGUAAGUUCCGACCUGCACGAAUGGCGUAACGAUGGCCACACUGUCUCCUCCAGAGACUCAGCGAAGUUGAAAUGUUUGUGAUGAUGCAAUCUCCCCGCGGAAAGACGGAAAGACCCCAUGAACCUUUACUGUAGCUUUGUAUUGGACUUUGAACAGAUCUGUGUAGGAUAGGUGGGAGGCUUUGAAGGCAGGAUGCUAGUUCUGCUGGAGCCGACGUUGAAAUACCACCCUGGUGUGUUUGAGGUUCUAACCUAGGUCCCUUAUCGGGAUUGGGGACAGUGCAUGGUAGGCAGUUUGACUGGGGCGGUCUCCUCCCAAAGCGUAACGGAGGAGUUCGAAGGUACGCUAGUUACGGUCGGACAUCGUGACGAUAGUGCAAUGGCAUAAGCGUGCUUAACUGCGAGACUGACAAGUCGAGCAGAUGCGAAAGCAGGACAUAGUGAUCCGGUGGUUCUGUAUGGAAGGGCCAUCGCUCAACGGAUAAAAGGUACUCUGGGGAUAACAGGCUGAUACCGCCCAAGAGUUCAUAUCGACGGCGGUGUUUGGCACCUCGAUGUCGGCUCAUCUCAUCCUGGGGCUGUAGCCGGUCCCAAGGGUAUGGCUGUUCGCCAUUUAAAGAGGUACGUGAGCUGGGUUUAAAACGUCGUGAGACAGUUUGGUCCCUAUCUUCCGUGGGCGCUGCAGAUUUGAGGAAGCCUGCUCCUAGUACGAGAGGACCGGAGUGGACACACCUCUGGUGUACCUGUUGUCACGCCAGUGGCAUCGCAGGGUAGCUAAGUGUGGAAGAGAUAACCGCUGAAAGCAUCUAAGCGGGAAACUCGUUUCAAGAUGAGAUCUGCCGGGGGCUUGACCCCACUGAAGAGUCGUUCUAGACCAGGACGUUGAUAGGCUGGAUGUGGAAGUGCAGCAAUGCAUUAAGCUGACCAGUACUAAUUGCUCGUGCGGCUUGAGC
RNAcentral lists this ribosomal RNA (1570 nucleotides) under metagenome. RNAcentral describes it as "bacterial LSU rRNA". It matches the Rfam family "Bacterial large subunit ribosomal RNA", at positions 1355 to 2925 of the family's 2925-position model. The record is from RNAcentral.